CUCGGCCUCCCUAAGUUUUCGGAUCACAGGCGUGAGCCACCACGCCCAGCCGGAUUGCAAUUUUAAAUAGCAUAAUCAGAGAGGCUUAAUGGAAGAGGUAAUAUUUGAGGAAAGACCUGAAGAAGGUAAGGGAGUAGGCACUGAAGAUAUUGGGGGAACAGUGCUCCCCGAGACAUCUGGGCAGCCAGGCACAGGGACCACAAGCAGAAAAGGGUCCUGUGAGGGUUUCGUGUUUUCUUUACAAUUUGUCAAUGUGAACACCAUGCUCACACCAAAGAACAGCAAGUUUCCUACCUGGCUUCUCUGCCUUCCUCCUUCCUUCCCUCCCUUCCUCCCUCCUUCCUUCCUUUCUUCCUUUCUUCCUUCCGUUCUCCCUUUCUUCCCAAUAUGCCCCACUUCAAUGGAUGAGUUUUCCAGCUCCCUCGGCUGCUUUCUGCAUUGCACAUGACAAGUAUCCACUAAAUAUUCAUUCAUUAGAAACAGCCAGACGAUGCUGAGCCUCUGUAGCUCUCUAGCAUCUACCAUAGCACAGAUCUCAGGAAGACCCACAAGAUACAUUUGUCAACAAGUCGAUGGCCUCCUAUGUGGCCCUGUGCUGUGUGCUGAGGCUACAGGAAGGAACAAAGCCUCCUAUCUGGGGGCCCACUUCUGCAGUUAAGUUCAUCUGGUGUCCUUUGUAAUACUGCAAAGAGAACUUCUUACGCUGUAGCUGAAUGAGAGAAAUAUCCCAUUCCAAACCUCUGAUGGAAACUGGCCAAGUCAGCGUGUGAGAGGAAGAAGGAAGAAAAAGUUUGCCUACCCUUGCACCGGAAGCAGGAGGGAAAGAGAUGGGCUUGUUGGAAACCAGGAAAGGAGAAAUUGACAGAGCUGCAGGGAGCAAUCCCUUUCCACCUUCACCCAGGACUGAGAUCAUGUCAUACAAAAGCCCUGUGUUGUUCAGAGGACCAGAGGGGCUGGAGUGGAGUGAAGUGGUGUGAUCUCGGCUUACUGCAACCUCUGCCUCCCAGGUUCAAGCGAUUCUCCUGCCUCAGCCUCCUGAGUAGCUGGGAUCACAGACGCCUGCCAUCAUGCCUGGCUAAUUUUUGUAUUUUUAGUAGAGAUGGGGUUUCGCCAUGUUGGUCAGGCUGGUCUCGAACUCCUGACCUCAAGUGAUCCACCUGCCUCGGCCUCCCAAAGUGCUGGAAUUACAGGCAUGAACCACUGCACCUGGCCUCUAUUACCUUUAAAAGUGCUCCUUGAAGAGAAAAUCCACUCUGCCGUUUCAAGCUUGACUUCCCUCCCCAGUCUUAGAGACUGAUCACUGGGGCAGAGUGACAUUUUCCCACAAUGCUGGCUCAUUAUUUUCCUCCUGGAAUUGCAAAUCCAAGGGACAAGUGGUACAGCCUGCACCCAUCCAGAAGGGGAGGGAAUCCCACCAGAGGUGCCCUGAAACAAAGAAAACAAGUAACUUCAAAACCACAUCCUAAAAUCUGGACCUGUGACAGGACAGAUGGAACUCUGGAUUGUUUGAUUCUAUCAGCAGAACAGAGGAAGGAAAUGUUUUAAAACGAGAUUAUGUUAUUUUCCCCAGUUAUUAUGAAGCCUUCCUGAAAUGAACUUUAAAUAUCGGCCACCACUUUCAUGAGGCUGAAUGGGAUUCAGCAAUUAGGAGCGUUGCAGGGAAGUGUGGCAGGGCAGAGGUGGGACAAAUUGCAGAUCCCUGUGGGGUCCCUUGGUUAGGUGACAAUUAGUCUAUAAAACACAGCUGUGUGUGUUAGGGAGGGAGUGGUGUCUUUAAAAAGCUCUGUGCCCAAUAGGAACAUUAAUUAAAGGGUCUUUUUUCAAAGGACAUUAAUAAUAAUGAAUAAAAAGCCUUCUGCGA
This 1861-nucleotide long non-coding RNA is filed under the name Homo sapiens (human). Its description in RNAcentral is "HSALNT0356456". The record is from RNAcentral. Lineage: Eukaryota; Metazoa; Chordata; Mammalia; Primates; Hominidae.